GAGCGGUAGAGAGAAGCUUGCUUCUCUUGAGAGCGGCGGACGGGUGAGUAAUGCCUAGGAAUCUGCCUGGUAGUGGGGGAUAACGUUCGGAAACGGACGCUAAUACCGCAUACGUCCUACGGGAGAAAGCAGGGGACCUUCGGGCCUUGCGCUAUCAGAUGAGCCUAGGUCGGAUUAGCUAGUUGGUGAGGUAAUGGCUCACCAAGGCGACGAUCCGUAACUGGUCUGAGAGGAUGAUCAGUCACACUGGAACUGAGACACGGUCCAGACUCCUACGGGAGGCAGCAGUGGGGAAUAUUGGACAAUGGGCGAAAGCUUGAUCCAGCCAUGCCGCGUGUGUGAAGAAGGUCUUCGGAUUGUAAAGCACUUUAAGUUGGGAGGAAGGGCAGUUACCUAAUACGUGAUUGUUUUGA
RNAcentral lists this ribosomal RNA (413 nucleotides) under uncultured Pseudomonas sp. RNAcentral describes it as "bacterial SSU rRNA". It matches the Rfam family "Bacterial small subunit ribosomal RNA", at positions 64 to 477 of the family's 1533-position model. The record is from RNAcentral. Lineage: Bacteria; Pseudomonadati; Pseudomonadota; Gammaproteobacteria; Pseudomonadales; Pseudomonadaceae.